This 433-nucleotide long non-coding RNA is filed under the name Hordeum vulgare. RNAcentral describes it as "long non-coding RNA (HVUL_LNC005559)". The record is from RNAcentral. Lineage: Eukaryota; Viridiplantae; Streptophyta; Magnoliopsida; Poales; Poaceae.
GUGUAGGGUGUCGGCGGUAUGGAAAACGGUGCGGUUUAGAGGAAAGCCCGAGAGCUGGGGCAGCUGCUCAAGCAGGGCAGGGUGAUGCAUGGCAGCGCCAUCGGCCACGGGUGGUAGGGGGCGUGGUUCGGCCGGCGCUGGUGGGCAACACAGGGUGUGGCUGUUGGAGGAGAAAAUGGCUCCGCGACCUAUGGAAUAUCUUCAUAAUUAAUCUUCAAUCAUAUCUUCAUAAUUAAUAUUGUCUAGGAUAUCUUCAUAAUUAAUCUUGUCUAGAAUAUCUUCAUAAUUAAUCAUAUCUUCAUAAUUAAUUUUCAAUCAUAUCUACUAGGAUAUCAUUUUCAAGUGCUAUUGUCGCCAAUCUAUUGAUCCUUUCUUGCAUCAUAGUGGACCGCAAAUAAGAUUUCAACAACUUGAGUUUGGAGAACUUCUUUCU